UCUCGGCUCUCGCAUCGAUAAAACGUACGAAAUGCGAUACUUGGUGUGAAUUGCAGAAUCCCGUGAACCAUCGAGUCUUUGAACGCAAGUUGCGCCCGAAACCUUUAGGUCGAGGGCACGCCUGCCUGGGCGUCACGCAUCGCGUCUCCCCCCACCCCACCU
This 162-nucleotide ribosomal RNA is filed under the name Grayia spinosa. RNAcentral's name for it is "23S ribosomal RNA". The stretch from base 1 to 135 matches the Rfam family "5.8S ribosomal RNA", at positions 19 to 154 of the family's 154-position model. Rfam says of the family: 5.8S ribosomal RNA (5.8S rRNA) is a component of the large subunit of the eukaryotic ribosome. It is transcribed by RNA polymerase I as part of the 45S precursor that also contains 18S and 28S rRNA. The record is from RNAcentral. Lineage: Eukaryota; Viridiplantae; Streptophyta; Magnoliopsida; Caryophyllales; Amaranthaceae.